RNAcentral lists this unclassified non-coding RNA (20 nucleotides) under Dictyostelium discoideum. The record is from RNAcentral. Lineage: Eukaryota; Evosea; Eumycetozoa; Dictyosteliales; Dictyosteliaceae.
GAAUGGAUCAUUAACAAUAU